Molecule: ribosomal RNA, 572 nt
Filed under: uncultured bacterium
Lineage: Bacteria
Description: bacterial SSU rRNA
Rfam family: Bacterial small subunit ribosomal RNA
Source: RNAcentral
GCGACGAUGCGUAGGGGUUCUGAGAGGAAGGUCCCCCACACUGGUACUGAGACACGGACCAGACUCCUACGGGAGGCAGCAGUGAGGAAUAUUGGUCAAUGGGAGAGAUCCUGAACCAGCCAAGCCGCGUGAGGGAAGACGGCCCUAUGGGUUGUAAACCUCUUUUGUCGGAGAACAAAACCCGGGACGAGUCCCGGACUGCGUGUAUCCGAAGAAAAAGCAUCGGCUAACUCCGUGCCAGCAGCCGCGGUAAUACGGAGGAUGCGAGCGUUAUCCGGAUUUAUUGGGUUUAAAGGGUGCGUAGGCGGUCCGUUAAGUCAGCGGUAAAAUUGCGGGGCUCAACCCCGUCGAGCCGUUGAAACUGGCAGACUUGAGUUGGCGAGAAGUACGCGGAAUGCGCGGUGUAGCGGUGAAAUGCAUAGAUAUCGCGCAGAACUCCGAUUGCGAAGGCAGCGUACCGGCGCCACACUGACGCUGAGGCACGAAAGCGUGGGGAUCGAACAGGAUUAGAUACCCUGGUAGUCCACGCAGUAAACGAUGAAUGCUGGUUGUCCGGGUCGAAUGAGAUCUGG